RNAcentral lists this ribosomal RNA (267 nucleotides) under uncultured bacterium. RNAcentral describes it as "partial 16S ribosomal RNA". It matches the Rfam family "Bacterial small subunit ribosomal RNA", at positions 524 to 776 of the family's 1533-position model. The record is from RNAcentral.
GACGUGAGGUGCAAGGCGUUAUCCGGAUUCAUUGGGCGUUAAAGUGGUUGCUGUUGAGGACGGGAUUUGCGCAUUUUGGUUUUAAACCCCCAUGGCUCAACCAUGGUUUUGGGCAAAAGUAUGGCAAAUCUAGUAAGGAUGGAGAGGGUACUGGAACAGAUCAUGUAGCAGUGAAAUGCGUUGAUAUGAUCUGGAACACCAAAGGCGUAGGCAGGUACCUGGCCAUCUCUAGACGCGUGAGGCACGACAGCUUGGGGAGCGAAGAGG